RNAcentral lists this transfer RNA (73 nucleotides) under Bifidobacterium longum. Its description in RNAcentral is "tRNA-Val". It matches the Rfam family "tRNA". From Rfam's summary of the family: Transfer RNA (tRNA) molecules are approximately 80 nucleotides in length. Their secondary structure includes four short double-helical elements and three loops (D, anti-codon, and T loops). The record is from RNAcentral. Lineage: Bacteria; Bacillati; Actinomycetota; Actinomycetes; Bifidobacteriales; Bifidobacteriaceae.
GGGCGAUUGGCGCAGCGGCUAGCGCAAUUCGUUCACACCGAAGGGGUCGUAGGUUCGAUUCCUACAUCGCCCA